RNAcentral lists this ribosomal RNA (273 nucleotides) under uncultured bacterium. RNAcentral describes it as "partial 16S ribosomal RNA". It matches the Rfam family "Bacterial small subunit ribosomal RNA", at positions 85 to 354 of the family's 1533-position model. The record is from RNAcentral.
CCGCCGGUGACCGGCGCACGGGUGAGUAACACGUAUGCAACCUGGCCGUGACAGAUGGAUAACCGGGAGAAAUCCCGCCUAAUACAGCAUGACGCCGGGAAGGGACAUCCCUUUCCGGCCAAAGGGGGCGACUCCGGUCACGGAUGGGCAUGCGGCGCAUUAGGUAGUUGGUGGGGCAACGGCCCACCAAGCCGACGAUGCGUAGGGGUUCUGAGAGGAAGGUCCCCCACAUUGGAACUGAGACACGGUCCAAACUCCUACGGAAGGCAGCAG